AUGACUCAACUAUACAACGUACUGUACAUAGUGAGAUACACACCACUGAUUCUCACUCUAGUUUCAGGCAGUUUUGCUGAUGAAAUUGGACCAAAGGAUGAAGAUGCCAGCAUAGUCACCAAGGAAACAGACACUGUUUCUCUGAGAUGUUCAUAUGUGUCAAGCAGUUAUUAUGUUCGCCUUUACUGGUACAAACAAUAUCCUAACAGCGCACCACAGUUUUUGCUGUAUAAAAAUGCAAAGUCAGCUGUUUCUAGUGAACACAACCCCUCUGGCUCUCGAUUCAAGAUAGCAGCAACCUCAGACUCUACUGAACUUACUGUAAAAGACCUAAAGCUCUCAGAUUCUGCACUCUAUCACUGUGCUGUUCUAGUAGGAGCACAGUAA
This is a non-coding RNA of Tachysurus vachellii, 387 nucleotides long. NCBI's taxonomy places the organism in Eukaryota, Metazoa, Chordata, Actinopteri, Siluriformes, Bagridae. The record is from the annotation of a RefSeq genome assembly.